AUUGAACGCUGGCGGCAGGCCUAACACAUGCAAGUCGAGCGGAUGAAGGGAGCUUGCUCCUGGAUUCAGCGGCGGACGGGUGAGUAAUGCCUAGGAAUCUGCCUGGUAGUGGGGGAUAACGUCCGGAAACGGGCGCUAAUACCGCAUACGUCCUGAGGGAGAAAGUGGGGGAUCUUCGGACCUCACGCUAUCAGAUGAGCCUAGGUCGGAUUAGCUAGUUGGUGGGGUAAAGGCCUACCAAGGCGACGAUCCGUAACUGGUCUGAGAGGAUGAUCAGUCACACUGGAACUGAGACACGGUCCAGACUCCUACGGGAGGCGGCAGUGGGGAAUAUUGGACAAUGGGCGAAAGCCUGAUCCAGCCAUGCCGCGUGUGUGAAGAAGGUCUUGGAUUGUAAAGCACUUUAAGUUGGGAGGAAGGGCAGUAAGUUAAUACCUUGCUGUUUUGACGUUACCAACAGAAUAAGCACCGGCUAACUUCGUG
RNAcentral lists this ribosomal RNA (483 nucleotides) under uncultured bacterium. RNAcentral's name for it is "partial 16S ribosomal RNA". It matches the Rfam family "Bacterial small subunit ribosomal RNA", at positions 30 to 507 of the family's 1533-position model. The record is from RNAcentral.